This 445-nucleotide ribosomal RNA is filed under the name uncultured bacterium. Its description in RNAcentral is "SSU rRNA". It matches the Rfam family "Bacterial small subunit ribosomal RNA", at positions 26 to 518 of the family's 1533-position model. The record is from RNAcentral.
AGAGCGAACGCUGGCGGCAUGCUUAACACAUGCAAGUCGCACGGUCAGCAAUGGCAGUGGCGGACGGGUGAGUAACGCGUAGGUAUCUAUCCACGGGUGGGGGACAACGUCGGGAAACUGACGCUAAUACCGCAUGAUACCCGAGGGUCAAAGGCGCAAGUCGCCUGUGGAGGAGCCUGCGUACGAUUAGCUUGUUGGUGGGGUAAAGCCUACCAAGGCGACGAUCGUUAGCUGGUCUGAGAGGAUGAUCAGCCACAUUGGGACUGAGACACGGCCCAAACUCCUACGGGAGGCAGCAGUGGGGAAUAUUGGACAAUGGGCGAAAGCCUGAUCCAGCAAUGCCGCGUGUGUGAAGAAGGUCUUCGGAUUGUAAAGCACUUUCGGCGGGGACGAUGAUGACGGUACCCGCAGAAGAAGCCCCGGCUAACUUCGCGCCAGCAGCCGC